This is a non-coding RNA of Acanthosepion pharaonis, 107 nucleotides long. NCBI's taxonomy places the organism in Eukaryota, Metazoa, Mollusca, Cephalopoda, Sepiida, Sepiidae. The record is from the annotation of a GenBank genome assembly.
UUACGACCACAUCAGUUGAAACACCACUUCCCGUACGACCAACGAAGUUAAGCAACGUCAAGCCUGGUCAGUACUUAGAUAGGUGACCGCAUGUGAAUGCCAGGUGC